RNAcentral lists this ribosomal RNA (389 nucleotides) under uncultured bacterium. RNAcentral describes it as "bacterial SSU rRNA". It matches the Rfam family "Bacterial small subunit ribosomal RNA", at positions 29 to 418 of the family's 1533-position model. The record is from RNAcentral.
AUUAAACGCUGGCGGCAUGCCUUACACAUGCAAGUCGAACGGCAGCACGGGGGCAACCCUGGUGGCGAGUGGCGAACGGGUGAGUAAAGCAUCGGAACGUGCCCUGGAGUGGGGGAUAACGUAGCGAAAGUUACGCUAAUACCGCAUAUUCUGUGAGCAGGAAAGCAGGGGAUCGCAAGACCUUGCGCUCUGGGAGCGGCCGAUGUCGGAUUAGCUAGUUGGUGGGGUAAAGGCCUACCAAGGCGACGAUCCGUAGCGGGUCUGAGAGGAUGAUCCGCCACACUGGGACUGAGACACGGCCCAGACUCCUACGGGAGGCAGCAGUGGGGAAUUUUGGGACAAUGGGCGCAAGCCUGAUCCAGCCAUGCCGCGUGAGUGAAGAAGGCCUU